This 445-nucleotide ribosomal RNA is filed under the name uncultured bacterium. RNAcentral describes it as "bacterial SSU rRNA". It matches the Rfam family "Bacterial small subunit ribosomal RNA", at positions 354 to 796 of the family's 1533-position model. The record is from RNAcentral.
GUGGGGAAUUUUGCGCAAUGGGGGAAACCCUGACGCAGCAAUGCCGCGUGAAGGACGACGGUCUUCGGAUUGUAAACUUCUUUUGCCGGUGAAAAAUGGUUUCGUGAAGAACGAAACGUGAUUGUAAUCGGCGAAUAAGCCACGGCUAACUUCGUGCCAGCAGCCGCGGUAAGACGAAGGUGGCGAGCGUUACUCGGAAUUACUAGGCGUAAAGCGAGAGCAAGCGGUUUGGUCAGUCUGUUGUGAAAGCCCCGGGCUUAACCCGGGGAGGUCAAUGGAUACUGCCGGACUUGGAUAUGGGAGAGGUGACUAGAAUUCCUGGUGUAGCGGUGAAAUGCGUAGAUAUCAGGAGGAAUACCAAUGGCGAAAGCAGGUCACUAGACCAUUAUCGACGCCCAUUCUCGAAAGCUGGGGGAUCAAACAGGAUUAGAUACCCGAGUAGUCC